GCCGGUGUGUUGGAAUUGGCAGACGAGGCGGACUCAAAAUCCGCUGGUAGCAAUACCGUGCGGGUUCGACCCCCGCCACCGGCA
This is a non-coding RNA of Firmicutes bacterium CAG:272_52_7, 84 nucleotides long. The record is from Rfam. Lineage: Bacteria; Bacillati; Bacillota.